Cinara cedri is the source of this 471-nucleotide non-coding RNA. Lineage: Eukaryota; Metazoa; Arthropoda; Insecta; Hemiptera; Aphididae. The record is from the annotation of a GenBank genome assembly.
AUUAUUUUACUAACGCACUCACUUUUUUGCCGGAAGUCUAGAUGAAUAUCCACUCAUUUGAAUAUCCAAAAAAUAUGUCUGCGUUAUGUGGUUAUGAAGAAAAUGGGAGUUCCGUAAAAUAGUCAAGUUCUUGAAAAGGUUCCGUGAGUAAAAUAAUUUGGGAAACAGUGGGUUAUAAUAUUAGGUAUGACGUAUAAAAUAGGACCAUUCUAAACAGAAAAUAAACCACGAUCUUCUCUCGAAAAUAGCCAGAUACCAACACAAUAGUAUUAGAAUAUACCUUACCUAUCUAUCGGAAUUUGUCGGAAACUGGACGAUAUCGAGUGAAAUAAUCGGCCUCAGAAUGCGUAUACAAUAUUAUAAUCUACGUGAUUACGUUAUAUAUUAUAUAAUGCGACGAAUAUUAGACUAAUAAAAAUAAUACUAUAAUAUAAAGUAAGUUUGGUAUAUGGCCAGUGGCGUAGCCGGGAG